GACGAACGCUGGCGGCGUGCUUAACACAUGCAAGUCGAACGAAGAGCGAUGGAAGCUUGCUUCUAUCAAUCUUAGUGGCGAACGGGUGAGUAACGCGUAAUCAACCUGCCCUUCAGAGGGGGACAACAGUUGGAAACGACUGCUAAUACCGCAUACGAUCUAAUCUCGGCAUCGAGGAUAGAUGAAAGGUGGCCUCUACAUGUAAGCUAUCACUGAAGGAGGGGAUUGCGUCUGAUUAGCUAGUUGGAGGGGUAACGGCCCACCAGGGCGAUGAUCAGUAGCCGGUCUGAGAGGAUGAACGGCCACAUUGGGACUGAGACACGGCCCAGACUCCUACGGGAGGCAGCAGUGGGGAAUCUUCCGCAAUGGACGAAAGUCUGACGGAGCAACGCCGCGUGAGUGAUGACGGCCUUCGGGUUGUAAAGCUCUGUUAAUCGGGACGAAAGGCCUUCUUGCGAAUAUUGAGAAGGAUUGGG
This 476-nucleotide ribosomal RNA is filed under the name Veillonella parvula. RNAcentral's name for it is "bacterial SSU rRNA". It matches the Rfam family "Bacterial small subunit ribosomal RNA", at positions 28 to 477 of the family's 1533-position model. The record is from RNAcentral. Lineage: Bacteria; Bacillati; Bacillota; Negativicutes; Veillonellales; Veillonellaceae.